This 183-nucleotide ribosomal RNA is filed under the name Chryseobacterium sp. MDT2-18. Its description in RNAcentral is "partial 16S ribosomal RNA". It matches the Rfam family "Bacterial small subunit ribosomal RNA", at positions 1 to 184 of the family's 1533-position model. The record is from RNAcentral. Lineage: Bacteria; Pseudomonadati; Bacteroidota; Flavobacteriia; Flavobacteriales; Weeksellaceae.
ACAAUGGAGAGUUUGAUCCUGGCUCAGGAUGAACGCUAGCGGGAGGCCUAACACAUGCAAGCCGAGCGGUAUAGUUUCUUCGGAAACUAGAGAGCGGCGUACGGGUGCGUAACACGUGUGCAACUUACCUUUAUCUGGGGAAUAGCCUUUCGAAAGGGAGAUUAAUACCCCAUAAUAUAUUAG